ACAGUUUUCUUUUGCAAACCUCGUAAAAAUCUCACCUUUGUUCCACUCCAGAGUCCAGUCACCACCUACCACCACCAUCACCAUCAACACCAUCAAAAUGCCCACUACCACCGCCGCGGAACCACCAGGCUUAGCCCUAGGCUUUCUCCCAUUCGUAGACAUGACAACACUUUCCCAAUCAGAACUUCGCGCUCUAUCUCUCUGCUCUUCUUCUUCCUUUGACCCUCGCCGGACCGAUGACGUCGUGACUCCUGUCAUUGAUCGCUCAAGCUUCAAUGAAAGUGCCGGCUCCCGCCGACAGACCUAUUCGCGCCUUUCCUCCCACCACCACCACCACCGCCACCGUCUAGCUGGUGUCCUUUCCAAAACCCCAAAUCCCCCAAGUUCAAGUCCUCCUUUCAAUAAUCCCACAACCGACUCCGAUUACCUCGAAAAUCACUCUAUUAUUAGUUACCUUAAGCAAUUUCUUUCUACUCAUCCCGAAUUCGAACAAUUAGAUUUAGUAGAUUUUGAUACCUUUAGCCAUCUCAAUGAAGCUAUUAAUUUCACUUCGCACCAAUUAUCACUAGGGGCAGCAGUAGAAGCGCCAGUGGUAAAUGGGAACUUCAAAAUUGGGGAAAGAAAGAGGAAAAGAGGAAGAAAGCCGAAAGUGAAAGUCUUGAAUGCGGAAGAGAGAAGGAAGGCAAUGAGUGUGGAGAUUCUGAACAAAAACGGGGUUGCAGUAGACUUGGUGAGAUUGGCUGGUAUGGAGGAUCCAUACAGAGAGGAAUUGAGUAGGAGAACCCAAGGGAUGGAUAAAGAAGAAGAGUUGUUGGGAUUUUUCAGGGAUUUAGAGGGGCAGUGGUGUAGUAGGAGAAGGAAGAGAAAAAUUGUUGAUGCAAGUGAGUUUGGUGAUACAUUACCAGUUGGUUGGAAGCUACUGCUUGGGCUCAAGAGGAAAGAAGGCCGUGCUUGGGUUUAUUGCCGUAGAUAUUUAAGCCCCGGUGGACAACACUUUGUAUCCUGUAAGGAAGUCUCGGCAUACUUGCAAUCAUGCUUUGGAUCUUGUGAUACACAACAAGUGACGCAUAAUGCGGGUGGGAACAUUCAGCAGGUCCACAUUGUAGCUUCUGACAGUUAUAUGCAACAGUAUGCAGGUACUACUGGGAAAGCGGAAGGUCAGAGGCAAUCUAGUGAACGUGAGAAGGCUGUUGCCUUGCUGGGAAUUGAUAAUAUGGAGUUGGCAGAGGUUCAAAUACAUGACCUUUUUGAAUGCCACAAAUGUAACAUGACAUUUGAUGACAGGGACACAUAUCUGCAGCACCUUUUGUCAUUUCACCAGAGAACUACAAGGAGGUAUAGACUUGGUUCUUCUGUUGGUGAUGGUGUAAUAGUUAAAGAUGGAAAAUACGAAUGCCAGUUCUGCCAUAAGGUAUUUCACGAAAGGCGUCGGUAUAAUGGUCAUGUUGGAAUCCAUGUGAGGAAUUAUGUGAGAGGGAUUGAAGAAUCUCCUCUUGACAGAAUGGCUUUGCAAAAGAGAAAUGAGUCUCCUAACAAAGAUGAAUUGCCUGCAAAAAUAUCCAAAAUGGAUGCAUUGAUUGAAAUAGCUCAGAAUUCUAUUCGAGAAACAGAAUCUCCUGUUCCUAAUUAUGAACCCAAUGGUGGGUUUACAUCUAAUCAACAGAAUCUAGCUCCUAGUGAAGAACUUCUGGCUUCAGUUUCUGAUUCUGAACUGAAAUCUGAUUCUUCUCUCAGUGAACUGGAUUUGGAAUAUGGCAUGAUUGAUAAAUCUCAGGAAUUAGAGUUACAAAAAAGUGAUCAUGUGAUUGAUAGAAGGAUGGGGAUCAUUGAUGAUGCUACUAAUAUUCUAGAUGUUGAGGUAGAUUCUUCAUUUGCUAAUGAGCAAUGUGGUAAUACGUCUAAAGCUCUUGGUGCAACAGAUUGUCUGGCAGUCUGCGCUGAUGAAAUGGAAAAGUCAGUCAUUGAGCAGGAAAGAGGUACUGACUGCCAUUCCCUUUCUCCAUUGAGCAGUCAGAAAACUUGUAGCAUUGAUAAUAAUAUGAAUCUGGUUAAUACAGACAAACAAGACCAUAGUAAGACUGAUAAAGUGGAUAAAACAAAGAGCGCUGAGAUAGACAUUGGCUUUGGAAGUAAGAACAGUGCUGCAGAUAAUAAUAUUGUACAAGAUGCUGUACAUCAACCUUUCGAAGAAGAUGGACUUCAGCGUGGAAGUCCAGAACCAGUGGUAUCUGGAUUACAACCAUGCCAUGGUUUUUCGGCGCCCAAUGUGAACUUGGAUAAGGUAGAAAAUGAAUUUUGUUCGGUGAACCAGAGGGAGGACAAAAUAACCGGAUUUGAGGAGUUAAGGUUGGAGGAUAUUGAACAACUUAAAUUUAGUUUUGGGACGGGCCAAGAACCUCUCUCUCUGCCUGAGGGAACAAUCAAUAUGGAAAACAAUCCUGAGGUGGAAGGGGCAUAUGAUACCUCAGUUCAGUUUGAAUCAGAGGUUGUAGAUACAACUGAUGCACAACAGUUUACAACUGUUUGUGUAUGGUGUGGAGUGGAGUUCAGCCAUGAGGCUGUUGAUACUGAAAUGCAGUCAGAUUCAGUUGGUUAUAUGUGUCCGACAUGCAAGGCAAGAAUCUCCGGGCAGCUUGAUGUGCUGGGUGGUGGUCUCUCAUGAAUCUUUGAUGUGCUACUGAUUUUUAAUUCUGACAACAUUCGCUUCUGUUUUACUUCGGCAGCAGAUGGUGGAUGGAAGAUACUUGCAUUGGCAAAGUCCAGGACUAUUUGCGCUUGAAUUCUUGAAGAAAGGUUAUGAAAUCCCUUUUCUCCCACUUCACACCUCGGAACGCACCUCGGAACGCACCGUUCUUACCGAACCCCUAUUGAAAGACAUCAGGUGAUACAUAUAUAUUUGAUGAAGCUGAUGUGUGUUCUUCCAUGGAUUGAAGGGUAGAGCUAGAGUACUGGAUUCUUCUUGCAUUAUGCUCUGGUGGAAUAAAGAUAUUAAGGGAUGAGAAUUUUUUUUUUUUUUUUUAAAAAAAAGAUAAAGAUAAAGUUGUAGGUAAGCAUAUGAAAUGUACAAUUAAUGGUAAUACAUUUUGAUGAUUAACAUAUUUACUAUAAUCAAGAAAUUUUGGCUCUGAAA
Jatropha curcas is the source of this 3130-nucleotide RNA transcript. RefSeq lists it as uncharacterized. The record is from RefSeq and is a predicted model, not a curated record. Lineage: Eukaryota; Viridiplantae; Streptophyta; Magnoliopsida; Malpighiales; Euphorbiaceae.